AACUUUCAGCAAUGGAUCACUAGGCUCUCGCAACGAUGAAGAACGCAGCGAAAUGCGAUAAGUAAUGUGAAUUGCAGAAUUCAGUGAAUCAUCGAAUCUUUGAACGCAUCUUGCGCUCCUUGGUAUUCUGAGGAGCAUGCCUGUUUGAGUGUCAUUAAAUUCUCAACUACACUGACUUGGUGUGGCUUGGAUUUGGGGGUUGUGGGCUUUUUGUAGUCUGCUCCCCUGAAAUUAAUUAGCGGUACCUUGGUGGAACUGUCUACAGGUGUGAUAAUUAUCUACAUCCUAGACAUCUGCUGGAAUGCUGCUUUCUAGACCUUACUUGUAUUGACAAUCUUGACCUCAAAUCAGGUAGGACUACCCGCUGAACUUAAGCAUAUCAAUAAGCGGAGGCU
RNAcentral lists this unclassified non-coding RNA (395 nucleotides) under uncultured Inocybe. RNAcentral describes it as "sequence contains ITS2". The stretch from base 1 to 154 matches the Rfam family "5.8S ribosomal RNA". The record is from RNAcentral. Lineage: Eukaryota; Fungi; Basidiomycota; Agaricomycetes; Agaricales; Cortinariaceae.